Molecule: ribosomal RNA, 802 nt
Filed under: uncultured bacterium
Lineage: Bacteria
Description: bacterial SSU rRNA
Rfam family: Bacterial small subunit ribosomal RNA
Source: RNAcentral
AGAGUUUGAUCAUGGCUCAGGACGAACGCUGGCGGCGUGCCUAACACAUGCAAGUGGAGCGACGAACCGGGCUUCGGCCCGGGGCAAAGCCGCGAACGGGUGAGUAACACGUGGGUAACGUGCCCCGAUGAUUGGGACAACCCGAGGAAACUCGGGCUAAUACCAAAUGUGCACUCCAGCCAUAAGGCUGGUUUGGAAAGGAAGCUUCGGCCUCCGCAUCGGGAUCGGCCCGCGGCCCAUUAGCUUGUUGGUGAGGUAACGGCUCACCAAGGCUACGAUGGGUAGCUGGUCUGAGAGGACGAUCAGCCACACUGGGACUGAGACACGGCCCAGACUCCUACGGGAGGCAGCAGUGGGGAAUCUUGCGCAAUGCGCGAAAGCGUGACGCAGCAACGCCGCGUGGGUGAAGACGGCCUUCGGGUUGUAAAGCCCUUUCAGUUGGGACGAAGCUUCGCCGGUUAAUAGCCGGCCGGAGUGACGGUACCUUCAGAAGAAGCCCCGGCUAACUACGUGCCAGCAGCCGCGGUAAUACGUAGGGGGCAAGCGUUGUCCGGAAUCAUUGGGCGUAAAGCGCGUGUAGGCGGCUCGAUAAGUCUGCUGUGAAAGUCCAGGGCUCAACCCUGGAAUGCCGGUGGAAACUGUCGGGCUAGAGUCCGGAAGAGGCGAGUGGAAUUCCUGGUGUAGCGGUGAAAUGCGCAGAUAUCAGGAGGAACACCAAUGGCGAAGGCAGCUCGCUGGGACGGUACUGACGCUGAGACGCGAAAGCGUGGGGAGCAAACAGGAUUAGAUACCCUCGUAGUCC